UACGAAGGGGGCUAGCGUUGCUCGGAAUCACUGGGCGUAAAGGGUGCGUAGGCGGGUCUUUAAGUCAGGGGUGAAAUCCUGGGGCUCAACUCCAGAACUGCCUUUGAUACUGAAGAUCUUGAGUUCGGGAGAGGUGAGUGGAACUGCGAGUGUAGAGGUGAAAUUCGUAGAUAUUCGCAAGAACACCAGUGGCGAAGGCGGCUCACUGGCCCGGUACUGACGCUGAGGUGCGAAAGCGUGGGGAGCAAACAGG
Molecule: ribosomal RNA, 253 nt
Filed under: uncultured bacterium
Lineage: Bacteria
Description: partial 16S ribosomal RNA
Rfam family: Bacterial small subunit ribosomal RNA
Source: RNAcentral